GCAGUGGUGGUUCAGUGGUAGAAUUCUCACCUGCCACGCGGGAGGCUCAGGUUUGUUUCCCGGCCAAUGCA
Molecule: non-coding RNA, 71 nt
Organism: Salmo salar (Atlantic salmon)
Lineage: Eukaryota; Metazoa; Chordata; Actinopteri; Salmoniformes; Salmonidae
Source: Rfam